RNAcentral lists this unclassified non-coding RNA (3652 nucleotides) under Onthophagus taurus. RNAcentral describes it as "tubulin glycylase 3A-like, transcript variant X3". The record is from RNAcentral. Lineage: Eukaryota; Metazoa; Arthropoda; Insecta; Coleoptera; Scarabaeidae.
AAAAUCAUCAAAAGUCAAAUUUAAAAACUAAACUUUGGUUUCGCCAGAAAACCACAAAAAAUUCUUCGUGCACAAACAUAAUGCUUUUUUAAACCAAAUUAUCCCUUCGAGGAUAACAUCACCUUUUCGUUUUGCGACGCAUGUAUUGAAGAUUGUUAUGACCAUCGUCAAGCGGGGAUUACCUCAGGUGGCAAAGGAUGUAAAACGCGUUGAAGAAAACACUAGCAAGGAUAAACAAAAAAAUGUAAAAUCCGUACAGAAAGUAACAUCACCAAAUAAUUCCCAGGAAUAUCGUCCUAAAAAACUAAGCGCAAAAAAAGGGAAAGCUUCCGACAAGUUAUCUAGUGGCGGAUCAGCUCGUGUUAAGAAAAAAGGAAUUGUACAAAACAAAAACUCGCCCUCAACAUCUUUGAAAGGAACACCUACCAAGCGCGUUUCUAUUGAUAAUGGAACAAACAAAAAAAACAUUAUUAAUAAUAAUGAUAACAAUAAUAAUUAUAGAAAGACUCCAGAUGGAAAAACUAAUAGAACGGCUUCUAACGAAGGUAGAAAAGAAGAUCUUAAAAGAAUUGCGAAAUCAGAAAGAGAAAAGUUUUCAAAAGAAAAAUUACAAAACUAUGUUAAUUACAUAACAACUAAAAUAAUGAAAGAUAGACCUUCCGAAGGAGUUGCAAAAUUAAAAAUUGAUAAUAGCUUUACUCCGACGAAACUUUUUGGUACUUUAGGAUAUUAUCAAUCAAAACUAAACGAAAUAAAUAAAAAUACUAUCACCGUUCGUCCAGUAUCUGAUUCCCCAGUUACUGAUGUACAACAAGAUAGAAAUAAACUUGGUGUUAAAGCAUCUGCAAAAAAAAUCACAUCGAAACAUUCUAAACAUUCCGAAAGAAAAGGUUCAUUUCUUAAAAAGGAUCAUCAUAAAGCACCAUCUAAAAUAAAUGUAAGAGAAUUAAUUCAAUCUUCUGCGAGUAACAAACCAGUAAUAAACUUACCAUUCGAAAAAGUUGAUCAACAACUUAAACCAAAAAGUAGCGUUGCCAAGUAUUUAAGUUCACAGUCAAGUUCCCAUAGAUCUUCGAAAACGCGAACCCCAAUCAAAGUCGGUAGUUUUACGGUUAAUUUAAGUUUACAAGAAAGAACCAGCAGUAGAUACAAAAGACUGAAGUAUCAAACAGGAGAAGAACUUUUAAAAUUUUAUAAAAAUUAUUUCUUUUACCAUGAUUGUAGAGAUCGAGUCGAUAAAGCAAUUAAAGAUAGAAAAACGUUCACAGUUUGUGGUAAUUUUUGGAGUGUACGAAAAGCUUUAAUAGCAAGAGGAUGGGUCGAAAAAAUUCAUUACGCUUACGCGCAUCCCGAUAGAGAUAUGAUGAAAAAGCUUUUAGGACAAAGUUUGAAUGACCUCAUCGAAGGUGUUUCCGAUAAAAGUUACGGUCCUUUAUACAAACGUGUAAUCAUGUCGAAAAUGUUAAGUCGGCAUCAAGUAGAUUUAUUCUGGGAUUAUGGUUGCGAUCCUUACAAACUAAAUCCUGACUCUGUAAAAUUAACGAUAAUCAAUCACAUCAGACGAGGAUACUGUAGUUAUUCGUCGAAAGAAGGUCUUUGCGAAAUUAUGAAAAAAGCACAUUGGUAUCAUUUCCCGGGAAUAUCAAAUUUACGACAUCCACGAUCAUAUACUUUAACUGAUAACGGAGAUCCAGAAGAAUUUAUUAGAGAUUUCCGUGUAACGGCGGCAAUAUCUAUGUUAAAAUGGAUAGCAGCAACGACAGAUAGUUCUUCAGGAAAAGUAAUCUCCGAGGCAGGGAAAGUACCUGUUAAAUACUUUCAUUUUGCAAUUAACGAAUGCGAAAGACACGUUCAAAAAAUUAAACACGACGACAUCGAUGAUGAGAUUCCCGAACCAAACGAAUGCGAAUGGAACGGAUUUUUAGAAAAUUACUAUCGAUGUGUUCACAUUGGUAACCACUUUAAAAAGGGCGAAGAGGAAACCGAACAAUCAAUGAUACAUAAAGCGAAAAUUAUGAUCAAUAAACUAAAAAGAUAUUGUUCGUACAUUGAUAUGGAUGGAUACAUGAAUAUAUGGAUUUUAAAACCAACCGCUGGAAGUAGAGGAAUUGGUAUUCACAUUUGUAGGACUUUAUCUUACGUUUUAAGGGUUGUUUCUGAAAGGAAAACGGUUAAAUAUGUUAUACAAAAAUAUAUUGAACGACCUCUUCUUAUUUAUAACACCAAGUUUGAUAUUAGACAAUGGUUUUUGAUCAGUUGUACAAAUCCUUUAACUAUUUGGAUGUACAAGAUGUGUUAUUUAAGAUUUAGUUCUCAAACGUACAACUUAAGAAAACUACACGAAAGUAUCCAUCUAACAAAUAAUUCGGUUCAAUGCAAAUACAGGAAUGUAAACAGAGAUCCCGCUUUGCCGGAUCAUAAUAUGUGGGAUUCAAAUCGAUUUAAAACGUACUUAGAAACGAUCGGCUAUCCAAACGCGUACGAUGCGAUUAUUUAUCCUGGAAUGAAACAGUGUAUAACCGCAUCGAUCCUGAUCCACCAAGAAAACAUAAACACAAGAAGGAAUUGCUUUGAAUUAUACGGAGCCGAUUUUAUGUUAACCGAAGAUUUCCAACCGUGGCUAAUUGAAAUUAAUUCUCGACCAGCUCUUUAUGCGUCAACUCCAGUUACAGGUCGAAUGUGUCCUCAAGUUCUAGAAGAUGUCGUUAAAGUCAUUAUUGAUUAUCCAUGUAACCCGAAAGCAAAUACGGGUCAUUUUGAUUUAGCCUACAAGGAACAACUAACGUCACUUCCAUCGGUAGACACCUCGUCGUUGGUGAUUCGUGGAGAGCCUCUGUCGCCAAGCUAUUUUGUAUCACCGUCGACGAGCGCGACAACCGGUGCUGCAGCGAGCAGCUGAAGAAGACACUGAAGAACUUGCUGGCUGUAAUCGCGAAAGAACGAGAACGACGCAAAAAGAUACGACAAGCGACAUCCACAAAUACAGCGAUACGUAAAUCAGCAGCGGCUAUAACGGAUGGUGGCGAUAUUCCAUACGCCAUCGCUAUAACAAAUGUUAACGAUGAGUUGAAAGAAAUCCAAGAAAUUUUUCGACCAAGACAUCUUAAUGAUAAAAGAUUAGGAAGGAUUAUGAAAAGUCUUUCCGUACGAAACAACGCAUCGGACAUAGUACACCGAAUUUGAUAGAUAAAUCCGAAAUUACUUCAUCAUCUUGCGAAUUGAAACCAGAUAGUAUUGAAAAUCUUUCUAAAGAAGAAGAAAUUGCUAUUAAUAAGUACAAAGAGAUACUGCAACGGACGAAUUGUGAUUCUAAUGUUAAAAUAGCUAAAAGUGGAUUUCUAGAGGAAAUGGAUAAUUAUUUUUCAUUUUGGAAAACUUUUUCUAGUGGGAGAAAAAUGAUUUCUAGUGCUCCACCUUCAACCGGUUGUUCCAAGAAUAAAAUCGAAAAUAAAUUUAUAAGAUUAUAAAAAAAUAAGUCCGCAUUAAAUUUCGACUGUCUUACGAUGACCAUCAUAAAGUCCGUCCAAUGCAACCAAUGGGUCCAGAGCGAAAAAGUCUGCUAUCUCAACUACGGUAAAAAAAUGUAAUUUGUACCGAUUCUUUUUUUUUUUCAAAUAAAGCCUGAACGAAAUAAAGUACACAUAAAAAUUGA